AAGAAAUGAAGAUCAUUAAGUAUUUAAUAUUUAUUUUAAAAUUAUUAUUUUAAAUAAGUUUCAAUAACAUGCAACCGGUAGAGGGUUCUUUUCUCAGCGGAAUCUUUAUGUGGUCAUUAGUGUUCUCGUUUUCAAGCCUCGUGUUUCGUAUCCAAGUAAAAGUGAGUCCUAAAUAAACGACAUGCAUGACCAUAAAUAUACUUCCCAUGUCGACAAAAAAACUCAUGUCAUUUAGUGAAUUGUCCGUGUCUAUCAUAAAAUUAAAAGAUAUAAGAAAGAGAUAGGAUAAAAUGUUUUAUAUACGAUAAUCGUUAUUAUUUUUAUUUCUAACCUCCUUUGUACCCUACUAACCGCGCGUCAUUCUAUUUAAGUCAAGGAAGUGAUGAAUAACAUGCGAGUUUGACAUAAUUUUCUCAAUGAGUGGAUCGAAUGUCAAGAUGUAAAUCUUAUAUCUAAUGCGUAUGUGUAUCUAUUAAUUUUGCUGUCUCAAAAUGUCCGAAAUUCUAAACACGACCGUUAACCUAACGUUUAACUCUAUAAUUAUAGCGCAACUUGACCGAAAAAAUUCUCUUUCUCUUGCCCUCGUCUUUUCUCAUUUUAUGAAUUAAUGUGUACAGGUUUGACAUCCAGCUGUAAUGUCAAGAUCUUCUUAUCUGCUAGGGAUAAUAGUAAGUUUCCUUAAUGAGAGUUAUUAGCAGAUAAUAUGAGGAUUCGAGUGUUUCUUUUAUGAAUACAAUAUCUACGUAAAUAUCUUUAGUCCUUUAACAAAGAAUGAAAUAAUGAUUAAAAUGAGUGUUUUUGUUUAUUCUAUCUUUUUAUUAUUCAAAUUUUUAUUAUUCUAUUCUUUUUUUAAAUUUAUAACAUAUCCUUGAUAAAUCCUUGCAAAAUUGUAAAGCGUUGAAGGACUCGCUCACUGUUUCGCUUCAGUUCAUGAGGAGAAAAAUGAUCGUAUUUAUAUAAAUCAGCAAUUGACAACUUUUAAGCGGUACAGUGUAUCGAAUGUAUUCCAAUGAUAUUGUUUAUUUUUACGCAAUAUAUUUGCAAAAUGGUAAUAGUGGCAUAGCUACAAUGUAAUUAUAAAAAUGUUGCAAUGGCAACCGGUGCAACGAACUCACGAAUGUAAUUUUUUUCAUGUUGAACAAGACAGAAAACUUUCUAAAAAUUAUUUGUACGCAAUAUUUUAUUCUUUAUUCCAGAAAUUCUUGAUGCUAUUAGGAACUCUUAUAAUCUAAAGAAUGAUUGAAAUCACAUAUAAUAAAUGAUAUACGUAUAAUAAUAUUUUUCUUAAAUUAAAAAAUUUUUCAAUGAAACACUCGAUUACGAUAAAAAUGAGUUAAAGAAUCAUGAUGAGCUUUCACGACAUCUGGCCAUGGCGCAAUAAGUAAGCUGCAUGAAAAUAAUAUUAUGUAAAAUCCGAGCAAAAAUUUCAACCACAUAGAAAAACUUUUGUCGAGAACCUCGAGGAUACCUACUUACCUACGCUACCGAGGAAUUGGACACCGACUUGGCCGAUUAGUCACGAUCGAUCGUUCUCAAAUUGUCGCUUCUUUUUUUGAUUCGUAGCAUGAAUUUAUCGGUAUUAUAACAUGGCAAGUACUUAUUUAUAAUUUAUUUACACAUUGUCAAUUCUGAUAUAUCGGAAAUCUGACAUAGUCAAAGUAACUAAAUAUCUUUCUUUCGUAUACCGAUUCAUUCAAGAAUGUUCGAAGAUAGGAUCGUGGAAUCGUAAGAACGUGGAAACGGCGUAAAUCAUUAGCAACAAUAUAACGAUCGAUCAAGAGAGCUGACAUACACGAAAAGAAGCCAGCGGCAAGUUGCAAUAGGGCCAAUUUCUCUUUAUCAAUGAUCGCCCUGUGGUUUUCUCCGUGGUCAUAGAGUAUGUGUACGUAACAUGGAAUACGUUGGUGUUAUAUGUACUAGCCAACGCGUAAACUGUUGCUGCGUGUGCGUACAAGUUCAAGAACAAUGGCAGUUCACGAUCUGUAUAAUGUAUGUAGUAGGUAUACACGAUUUUACCAUGCGACGGUACUGGCUCAUUGUGGUGGCGGUGGCGGCGGUGGCAGCGGGCAGCUCUCGUGCCACUGACCCACAAACAUACUUACCUAUGUUAUACUAUGCUGCUAUAUACAUCGUUCUGCCGUUGUCGCUAUGCUUUAAUGCCCGUACACACCGCGUUUCCGCCUCUCGUAUACACGCUUGUGUACGUCGUCCUUGGAAGAUUUACUUGCGGACCUGAUUGCAAUCCUGAUGCUGGUUCGUGAAUUUUUCAUUCGAGCCUGCACCACCGUGAACCGAAAGUAACUACGCCUCGAGCAACGAGGGCGAUAAUUUUACGGACAAAACUGGAAGAGCAAGGCUGAAAUCCUGCACGGAGAGGCGGAGAGCGGUGCACGAAAAAGAGGUAGUCGAUACGC
Long non-coding RNA from Apis dorsata (giant honeybee), 2414 nucleotides. RefSeq lists it as uncharacterized. Lineage: Eukaryota; Metazoa; Arthropoda; Insecta; Hymenoptera; Apidae. The record is from RefSeq and is a predicted model, not a curated record. The transcript has 5 exons.